UACAGAGGUCCCAAGCGUUGUUCGGAUUUACUGGGCGUAAAGGGUGCGUAGGAGGCUUGGAAAGUCAGGUGUGAAAUCUCACCGCUUAACGGUGAAAUGGCGCUUGAUACUCCCGGGCUGGAAGAUCGGAGGGGAGAACGGAAUUCCUGGUGUAGCGGUGAAAUGCGUAGAUAUCAGGAGGAACACCAACGGCGAAGGCAGUUCUCUGGACGAUUCUUGACUCUGAGGCACGAAGGCCAGGGGAG
RNAcentral lists this ribosomal RNA (245 nucleotides) under uncultured bacterium. RNAcentral's name for it is "partial 16S ribosomal RNA". It matches the Rfam family "Bacterial small subunit ribosomal RNA", at positions 524 to 768 of the family's 1533-position model. The record is from RNAcentral.